CCAAUCGGACCCUCCGGGAGGCAGCAGUGGGGAAUAUUGCACAAUGGGCGCAAGCCUGAUGCAGCCAUGCCAGCGUGUAUGAAGAAGGCUUCGGGUUGUAAAGUACUUUCAGCGGGGAGGAAGGUGUUGUGGUUAAUAACCUCAGUUAUUACGUUACUGCAGGAGAAGCACG
RNAcentral lists this ribosomal RNA (172 nucleotides) under uncultured bacterium. Its description in RNAcentral is "partial 16S ribosomal RNA". It matches the Rfam family "Bacterial small subunit ribosomal RNA", at positions 327 to 494 of the family's 1533-position model. The record is from RNAcentral.